This 267-nucleotide ribosomal RNA is filed under the name uncultured Gammaproteobacteria bacterium. Its description in RNAcentral is "partial 16S ribosomal RNA". It matches the Rfam family "Bacterial small subunit ribosomal RNA", at positions 35 to 306 of the family's 1533-position model. The record is from RNAcentral. Lineage: Bacteria; Pseudomonadati; Pseudomonadota; Gammaproteobacteria.
GCUGGCGGUAGGCUUACACAUGCAAGUCGUGCGAGAAAGUAUCUUCGGAUAUGAGUAGAGCGGCGGACGGGUGAGUAACGCGUAGGAAUCUACCUAGUAGAAGGGGAUAGCCCGAGGAAACUCGGAUUAAUACCGUAUACCUCCUUAGGGAGAAAGAGGGCCUCUCUUGAAGCUUUCGCUAUUAGAUGAGCCUGCGUAAGAUUAGCUUGUUGGUGAGGUAAUGGCUCACCAAGGCUACGAUCUUUAGCUGGUCUGAGAGGACGAUCA